GAUGAACGCUGGCGGCGUGCCUAACACAUGCAAGUCGAGCGACGAACCGGGGCUUUCCCUGGUGCAAAGCUGCGGACGGGUGAGUAACACAUAGGUAACUUACCCCGCUAACAGGGUCAACUCGCGGAAACUCACGCGAACACCUGCCGUGCACACUGUUCUACCGUUUAGUUCGUUAGUGAAGCUCCGUUCUGCUUAUCCUGAUGGGUGCAUCCGCGCCGCAUUAGCUGGUUGGUUAGGUAACGGCUUACCAAGGCAACGAUGGGUAGCCGGCCUGAGAGGAUGAUCAGCCACACUGGGACUGAGACACGGCCCAGACUCCUACGGGAGGCAGCAGUGGGGAAUCUUGCGCAAUGGGCGAAAGCGUGACGCAGCAACGCCGCGUGAGUGAAGAAGGCCUUCGGAUCGUAAACCCCUGUUAGGAGGGAAGAAGGAAUGGGGGUGAAUAGACGCCCGGACUGACGGUACCUAAACAAGAAGCCACGGCUAACUACGUG
This 497-nucleotide ribosomal RNA is filed under the name uncultured bacterium. Its description in RNAcentral is "partial 16S ribosomal RNA". It matches the Rfam family "Bacterial small subunit ribosomal RNA", at positions 28 to 507 of the family's 1533-position model. The record is from RNAcentral.